This 328-nucleotide ribosomal RNA is filed under the name uncultured eukaryote. RNAcentral's name for it is "partial 18S ribosomal RNA". It matches the Rfam family "Eukaryotic small subunit ribosomal RNA", at positions 1470 to 1796 of the family's 1831-position model. The record is from RNAcentral.
CCCUUAGAUGUCCUGGGCCGCACGCGCGCUACACUGAUGCAUGCAACGAGUUUCAUUUCUCCUGGGUCGAGAGGCCCGGGUAAUCUGUUGAACGUGCAUCGUGAUAGGGAUAGAUCAUUGCAAUUAUUGAUCUUGAACGAGGAAUUCCUAGUAAACGCGAGUCAUCAGCUCGCAUUGAUUACGUCCCUGCCCUUUGUACACACCGCCCGUCGCUCCUACCGAUUGAAUGCUCAGGUGAGCCAUUCGGACCUUCAUCAUGCCGGUUUCCGGUUUUGAUGAGGGAAAGUCUUGCGAACCUUAUCAUUUAGAGGAAGGAGAAGUCGUAACA